CUGUAAGUUCGCCAGACGGGUUCCGCGGCGGGUGCUUCUGCCGCGGACGAAAAGGGAAGCCGGUGCAAUUCCGGCGCAGGGCCGCUGCUGUGUUCGGCCAGAGGUUCGCGCUCCCACGCCACUGCGGGCAACCGCGGGAAGGCUGCGCGAGACUCGCUAAGAGCCGUGAGCCAGAAGACCUGCCCGUUGGCGAUUCCAACG
Molecule: non-coding RNA, 201 nt
Filed under: Gemmata sp.
Lineage: Bacteria; Pseudomonadati; Planctomycetota; Planctomycetia; Gemmatales; Gemmataceae
Source: RNAcentral